AUGAGGGACAUAUUCUCUUUCAUAUGGAUUAAAAGGGAGAAAUGCUUCGGUGGAUGCAUUCAAAGGGUAAACUGCGAUGGAGUAGUAUACUGUACUACUGUUGGUUGCCAGCCUCGUUGCAGGAGAUACAACUGCUGCUAUUGCCGGAGCCUCCACCACGAUAUCAUCUCCAAGGUCUUCCAGUUGCAGGAGAUACAGCUGCUGCUAUUGCCGGAGCCUCCACGACCAUAUCAUCUCCAAGGCUUUCCAGGGGAGGAAUGUCCGCGCAUUUCUCUUCUCUCACGCCAUGAACAUCGCUACGGGGGCCAAGGAGGACAGGCAGCUCAUGACCGGCUUCACACGGUGGCCGAUAUCCAUUGCCGUGAUUGCCGCGAGGUGCUUGGAUGGAAAUACGAGAGAGCCUACGAAGAAUCCUACAAGCACAAGGAAGGCAAGUUCAUAUUUGAAAAGGCCAAGAUCGUGAACGAUAAUUGCUAG
Molecule: ribosomal RNA, 477 nt
Filed under: Triticum aestivum (bread wheat)
Lineage: Eukaryota; Viridiplantae; Streptophyta; Magnoliopsida; Poales; Poaceae
Description: partial small subunit ribosomal RNA
Source: RNAcentral